RNAcentral lists this transfer RNA (63 nucleotides) under Euchiton japonicus. Its description in RNAcentral is "tRNA-Thr". Lineage: Eukaryota; Viridiplantae; Streptophyta; Magnoliopsida; Asterales; Asteraceae. RNAcentral also lists the same sequence under 4 other names. The record is from RNAcentral.
UUCCUUUUAACUCAGCAGUAGAGUGUAAAGCGUAAGCCCUCGGUUCAAAUCCGAUACCUAUAA